UACGGAGGGAGCUAGCGUUGUUCGGAAUUACUGGGCGUAAAGCGCGCGUAGGCGGCUUUGUAAGUUAGAGGUGAAAGCCCGGGGCUCAACCCCGGAACUGCCUUUAAGACUGCAUCGCUUGAAUCCGGGAGAGGUGAGUGGAAUUCUGAGUGUAGAGGUGAAAUUCGUAGAUAUUCGGAAGAACACCAGUGGCGAAGGCGACUCACUGGACGUGUAUUGACGCUGAGGUACGAAAGCGUGGGGAGCAAACAGG
This 253-nucleotide ribosomal RNA is filed under the name uncultured bacterium. RNAcentral's name for it is "partial 16S ribosomal RNA". It matches the Rfam family "Bacterial small subunit ribosomal RNA", at positions 524 to 776 of the family's 1533-position model. The record is from RNAcentral.